This 253-nucleotide ribosomal RNA is filed under the name uncultured bacterium. Its description in RNAcentral is "partial 16S ribosomal RNA". It matches the Rfam family "Bacterial small subunit ribosomal RNA", at positions 524 to 776 of the family's 1533-position model. The record is from RNAcentral.
UACGAAGGGGGCUAGCGUUGCUCGGAAUUACUGGGCGUAAAGCGCACGUAGGCGGUCUUUUAAGUCGGGGGUGAAAUCCUGGAGCUCAACUCCAGAACUGCCUUCGAUACUGGAAGACUUGAGUCCGGGAGAGGUGAGUGGAACUGCGAGUGUAGAGGUGAAAUUCGUAGAUAUUCGCAAGAACACCAGUGGCGAAGGCGGCUCACUGGCCCGAUACUGACGCUGAGGCACGAAAGCAUGGGGAGCGAACAGG